RNAcentral lists this ribosomal RNA (328 nucleotides) under uncultured eukaryote. RNAcentral's name for it is "partial 18S ribosomal RNA". It matches the Rfam family "Eukaryotic small subunit ribosomal RNA", at positions 1470 to 1796 of the family's 1831-position model. The record is from RNAcentral.
CCCUUAGAUGUCCUGGGCCGCACGCGCGCUACACUGAUGCAUGCAACGAGUUUAUAACCUUGGCCUGAAAGGUCUGGGUAAUCUUUUGAACGUGCAUCGUGAUAGGGAUAGAUUAUUGCAAUCGUUAAUCUUGAACGAGGAAUUCCUAGUAAACGCGAGUCAUCAGCUCGCAUUGAUUACGUCCCUGCCCUUUGUACACACCGCCCGUCGCACCUACCGAUUGAAUGGUUCGGUGAAGAUCUCGGACUUCGAUAUUUAUUCUUUAUUGAGUUUAUAUUGUGGGAAGUUAUCUAAACCUCAUCAUUUAGAGGAAGGUGAAGUCGUAACA